Molecule: ribosomal RNA, 655 nt
Filed under: uncultured bacterium
Lineage: Bacteria
Description: bacterial SSU rRNA
Rfam family: Bacterial small subunit ribosomal RNA
Source: RNAcentral
UGAGAGGGUGGUCGGACACACUGACACUGAAUAACGGGUCAGACUCCUACGGGAGGCAGCAGUCGGGAAUUUUGGGCAAUGGGCGAAAGCCUGACCCAGCAACGCCGCGUGAAGGAUGAAGUCUUUCGGGAUGUAAACUUCGUAAGAAUAGGAAGAAUAAAUGACGGUACUAUUUGUAAGGUCCGGCUAACUACGUGCCAGCAGCCGCGGUAAUACGUAGGGACCAAGCGUUGUUCGGAUUUACUGGGCGUAAAGGGCGCGUAGGCGGCGUGUCAAGUCAAUUGUGAAAUCUCCGGGCUUAACUCGGAACGGUCAAUUGAUACUGAUGUGCUAGAGUACAGAAGGGGCAAUCGGAAUUCUUGGUGUAGCGGUGAAAUGCGUAGAUAUCAAGAGGAACACCUGAGGUGAAGACGGGUUGCUGGGCUGAUACUGACGCUGAGGCGCGAAAGCUAGGGUAGCAAACGGGAUUAGAUACCCCGGUAGUCCUAGCCCUAAACGAUGAAUACUUGGUGUCUGGAGUUUUAAUUCUCCGGGUGCCGUCGCUAACGUUUUUAGUAUUCCGCCUGGGGAGUACGCACGCAAGUGUGAAACUUAAAUGAAUUGACGGGGGCAAGGGCGAAUUCUGCAGAUAUCCAUCACACUGGCGGCCGCUCGA